RNAcentral lists this ribosomal RNA (452 nucleotides) under uncultured bacterium. RNAcentral describes it as "bacterial SSU rRNA". It matches the Rfam family "Bacterial small subunit ribosomal RNA", at positions 1052 to 1504 of the family's 1533-position model. The record is from RNAcentral.
UCGUCAGCUCGUGUCGUGAGAUGUUGGGUUAAGUCCCGCAACGAGCGCCACACUUGCCUUUAGUUGCCAGCAUUAAGUUGGGCACUCUAGAGGGAAUAAACAGAGAUAACCUGGAGGAAGGUGGGGAUGACGUCAAAUCAUCAUGCCCCUUAUGCUUAGGGCUACACACGUGCUACAAUGGGUGGUACAGAGGGCAGCCAAGUCGUGAGGCGGAGCUAAUCCCUUAAAGCCAUUCUCAGUUCGGAUUGUAGGCUGAAACUCGCCUACAUGAAGCUGGAGUUACUAGUAAUCGCAGAUCAGAAUGCUGCGGUGAAUGCGUUCCCGGGUCUUGUACACACCGCCCGUCACACCACGGAAGUUGGGGGCGCCCGAAGCCGGAUUGCUAACCUUUUGGAAGCGUCCGUCGAAGGUGAAAACAAUAACUGGGGUGAAGUCGUAACAAGGUAGCCGUA